RNAcentral lists this ribosomal RNA (512 nucleotides) under uncultured bacterium. Its description in RNAcentral is "partial 16S ribosomal RNA". It matches the Rfam family "Bacterial small subunit ribosomal RNA", at positions 28 to 523 of the family's 1533-position model. The record is from RNAcentral.
GACGAACGCUGGCGGCAUGCCUAAUACAUGCAAGUCGAGCGAACAGAUGAAGUGCUUGCACUUCUGACGUUAGCGGCGAACGGGUGAGUAACACGUAAGGAAUCUACCUAUAAGCGGGGGAUAACAUUCGGAAACGGGUGCUAAUACCGCAUAAUAUCUUCUUCCGCUGGAAGAAGAUUGAAAGACGGCUCUGCUGUCACUUAUAGAUGACCUUGCGGUGCAUUAGUUAGUUGGUGGGGUAACGGCCUACCAAGACGAUGAUGCAUAGCCGACCUGAGAGGGUGAUCGGCCAGAUUGGGACUGAGACACGGCCCAAACUCCUACGGGAGGCAGCAGUAGGGAAUCUUCCGCAAUGGGCGAAAGCCUGACGGAGCAAUGCCGCGUGAGUGAAGAAGGCCUUCGGGUCGUAAAACCCUGUUAUAAGAGAAGAACAAAUUGUAGAGUAACUGCUACAGUCUUGACGGUAUCUUAUCAGAAAGCCACGGCUAACUACGUGCCAGCCGCCGCCGUAA